GGGGAUGUAGCUCAGCUGGCUAGAGCGUUUGACUGGCAGUCAAAAGGUCGUGGGUUCGACUCCCAUCUUCUCCACUA
RNAcentral lists this transfer RNA (77 nucleotides) under Zhouia amylolytica. Its description in RNAcentral is "tRNA_Ala_GGC". It matches the Rfam family "tRNA". Rfam says of the family: Transfer RNA (tRNA) molecules are approximately 80 nucleotides in length. Their secondary structure includes four short double-helical elements and three loops (D, anti-codon, and T loops). Further hydrogen bonds mediate the characteristic L-shaped molecular structure. tRNAs have two regions of fundamental functional importance: the anti-codon, which is responsible for specific mRNA codon recognition, and the 3' end, to which the tRNAs corresponding amino acid is attached (by aminoacyl-tRNA synthetases). tRNAs cope with the degeneracy of the genetic code in two manners: having more than one tRNA (with a specific anti-codon) for a particular amino acid; and 'wobble' base-pairing, i.e. permitting non-standard base-pairing at the 3rd anti-codon position. Lineage: Bacteria; Pseudomonadati; Bacteroidota; Flavobacteriia; Flavobacteriales; Flavobacteriaceae. The record is from RNAcentral.